RNAcentral lists this transfer RNA (66 nucleotides) under Lithoredo abatanica. RNAcentral's name for it is "tRNA-Gly". The record is from RNAcentral. Lineage: Eukaryota; Metazoa; Mollusca; Bivalvia; Myida; Teredinidae.
UUAGUAGUAGUAUAAAAAGUAUUUCUUCCUUCCAAGAAGACGGUCCGUUGGGUUUUGGCUGCUAAA